This 714-nucleotide long non-coding RNA is filed under the name Homo sapiens (human). RNAcentral describes it as "non-protein coding lnc-ANXA2R-8:1". The record is from RNAcentral. Lineage: Eukaryota; Metazoa; Chordata; Mammalia; Primates; Hominidae.
UGUGGAGCUGCCAGAGUAAAGCAAAGAGAAAGGAAGCAGGCCCGUUGGAAGUGGUUGUGACAACCCCAGCAAUGUGGAGAAGCCUGGGGCUUGCCCUGGCUCUCUGUCUCCUCCCAUCGGGAGGAACAGAGAGCCAGGACCAAAGCUCCUUAUGUAAGCAACCCCCAGCCUGGAGCAUAAGAGAUCAAGAUCCAAUGCUAAACUCCAAUGGUUCAGUGACUGUGGUUGCUCUUCUUCAAGCCAGCUGAUACCUGUGCAUACUGCAGGCAUCUAAAUUAGAAGACCUGCGAGUAAAACUGAAGAAAGAAGGAUAUUCUAAUAUUUCUUAUAUUGUUGUUAAUCAUCAAGGAAUCUCUUCUCGAUUAAAAUACACACAUCUUAAGAAUAAGGUUUCAGAGCAUAUUCCUGUUUAUCAACAAGAAGAAAACCAAACAGAUGUCUGGACUCUUUUAAAUGGAAGCAAAGAUGACUUCCUCAUAUAUGAUAGACUCUCAAAGAUGAAGACUUUUGUAAACGUGUAUCUUUGGCUACUGUGGAUAAAACAGUUGAAACUCCAUCGCCUCAUUACCAUCAUGAGCAUCAUCACAAUCAUGGACAUCAGCACCUUGGCAGCAGUGAGCUUUCAGAGAAUCAGCAACCAGGAGCACCAAAUGCUCCUACUCAUCCUGCUCCUCCAGGCCUUCAUCACCACCAUAAGCACAAGGGUCAGCAUAG